This is a non-coding RNA of Tupaia belangeri chinensis (Chinese tree shrew), 510 nucleotides long. NCBI's taxonomy places the organism in Eukaryota, Metazoa, Chordata, Mammalia, Scandentia, Tupaiidae. The record is from the annotation of a RefSeq genome assembly.
UUCAAUUCUGCUAGGGAAGUCCUUUCAGAAAAACUUGAUUUGGCUGUAUUUUCUAAAGAACCAAGGGAUGGAGACUCUUCUUCAAAUACUCAUAGUGAUCUUGGGGUUGCAGGCACCAUGGGUCUGUAGCCAAGAGCUGGAGCAGAGUCCUCAGUCACUGAUUGUCCAAGAGGGAAAGGAGAUCACCAUAACCUGCAAUUCAUCAAAGACUUUGUAUACCUUACACUGGUAUAGGCAGAAGGAUGCUGAAGGGCUCAGCUUCUUGAUGAUGUUACGAAAAAGUGGAGAAGAGGAGAAAAGUCAUGAAAAAAUGACGUUCACAUUGGAUGAGAAAAAGCAGCGAAGCUCCCUUCAUAUUGCAGUCACCCGACUCAGCCACUCAGGCACCUACUUCUGUGGAGCAGAAGCACAGUGAUGUUCAGACCUCCUCGGGCUAUCCCCAAACCUGCAGCUGAGUCACAGGUGCUCUGUUGACACAGGAUGCUUGAAGAUAUUUACUAUAACAAGAAA